RNAcentral lists this non-coding RNA (146 nucleotides) under uncultured Isochrysis. Lineage: Eukaryota; Haptophyta; Isochrysidales. The record is from RNAcentral.
UGCUCUCUCUCUCUCUCUCUCUCGCUCUGAGCGCGCCGCCCACGCACACGCGAAAUGGCUUUGGGGCCGCCCACAUACUCACGCUCCAACACUUCUACCCUACUGCGCAGUCUCUCAGCUGCUCGACCGGGCGUGCUCCGGGGGCA